UCUGUGUUUUUUUUCUUCAAUUGUGUGUGUGACCGCGUCAUUUACGCAACCUGUGGAAGAAGAAAAAGGAAUCCACUCGUUGACUUGGCUAUAAAAAAGGCGGCCGUAAAAAACGAAGGGGGGAUAGUAUGGGUAGGUAUAAACCCACUGUUAAUUGAGGUGGAGUUGAAUUACGUGAAAGAUGAACAACAAAGAGACAAGUGAAGUGGAGGAGCUCCUGCGAAAAGAAAACGAUUUUGAGGUACGUUGUGUUAUUUAAAAAAAGUCUGACGAGUAAUGCAAUGCUACAUUUGCAUACGGGAUCCUCGGAAGACAAGAAAUGGAGGAUCACCGAGUUUCCGAACAUACUCUAUCAGUGCACCUAUCCAGCUGAGUGGUGCUACUUUUCCUCAGAUAGGAAGUCCAAUAUGGGUCGCCAUUACACGAUCGGCUCCUCUUGCUCCU
Daphnia pulicaria is the source of this 444-nucleotide long non-coding RNA. RefSeq lists it as uncharacterized. The transcript has 3 exons. Lineage: Eukaryota; Metazoa; Arthropoda; Branchiopoda; Diplostraca; Daphniidae. The record is from RefSeq and is a predicted model, not a curated record.